CUACAAGCGGGCGUUCGCUAAGCCUGACUAGUCCUGCUGGACGGCGAAGAAGAUGUGCAGGAUGAGCUUGAGGAU
RNAcentral lists this unclassified non-coding RNA (75 nucleotides) under Rhodotorula toruloides. Lineage: Eukaryota; Fungi; Basidiomycota; Microbotryomycetes; Sporidiobolales; Sporidiobolaceae. The record is from RNAcentral.